AGCAAGUGGCUGUGGUCCCCUUCCACGGUGUGGGGGCUUUGUUCUUUCCCUCUUUGCAAUAAAUCUUGCUGCUGCUCACUCUUUGGGUCCACACUGUCUUUAUGAGCUGUAACAUUCACCGCGAAGGUUUGCAGCUUCACUCCUUAAGCCAGUGAAACCACUAACCCACCAAGAAGAAUGAACAAACAACUCCAGACGCGCGGCCUUAAGAGCUGUAACACUCACCGCGAAGGUCCGCAGCGUCUCUCCUGAGCUAGUGUGACCACGAACCAACCAGAAGGAACAAACUCCGAACACGCCGCCUUUAAGAACUGUAAUACUCACCGCGACGGCUUUUAAGAACUGUAACACUCACCGCGACGGUCGGCGGCUUCAUUCUUGAAGUCAGUCAGACCAAGAACCUACCAAUUCCGGACGCACUACCCGGGGGACAUGAUAAAUCUGGGAAGGGCACCUCAGGUUUUAUCUUCAUCAGCCUGGUCAAAGCUGGAUUUCCAUCACACAUGUGCUCACUCCACGGAACGUGCAAAAGGUCAAGACAUACAAACUCAGAGUUUUUAAAAUCAAGAAUUGAAAGUGGUCCACUAGCUUCUGUUCAUAGGACAUUGAGCCCCAGAUUUGGCACAUGACCGUCACCCACUCGGAACAUGAAGCACAGCUUGCCAUUUCGGACGGCAAUCACAGCAUGGCGGCUGAAAAUCAAAGUUUCUGCCCUUCUGUGAGCCUGAGCUGUUUUCAUGAAAAUGCAGCCUAACAUGACUGCAUUGAUGAUCAAACCCACAAUAUUCUGGAGAAUCAAAACCGUGAUGGCCAAAGGGCAUUCCUCUGUCAUCAUCCUCCCUCCAAACCCAAUGGUAACUUGAACUUCAAUGGAGAAGAGAAAAGCAGAAGUGAAAGACCUGUGAGGAAUGAUAUCAGAAAAGAACACCAUCAGGUCACAUUUUGAAUAAUGAAAUAUGCCAAGCUGAGCUUUUCAUUUUC
RNAcentral lists this long non-coding RNA (981 nucleotides) under Homo sapiens (human). RNAcentral describes it as "HSALNT0367097". Lineage: Eukaryota; Metazoa; Chordata; Mammalia; Primates; Hominidae. The record is from RNAcentral.